ACCUGUGCAGCUUGCAGCCAGCUGGAGCUGUCAGGUAAACUAACAGCCCUUUAAAAAGCCAAACAACUGUUGCUUUACAGAUACUGAGUUGAUUUUACAUUGCCCAAAUGCAGAGAAGAACUAGAGCCCACUUGUCCAGCAGCAGAAUCAGCCAACCUUAAGGAGUGGAAGGCAGCUGGAAAUGGCAUUGAAAUACCAGGCUGAACAGUCUCAACUUUCUCACCUUGUCAAGCCUAAACCAAUCAAUUAAGUUUCUGGAGCUUAAAAGAAAAUUAUACAGAUGAUGAAGUGUCCACACCAUGGUUCCCCAGGAUGGUGCUGCUCUGCUCAGAAAUGCCAGUAUUUCAGCUGGAGAGAAGCAGAAUGUGGCUUUUUAUCAACAAGUAAAGCUUUCCAGGUUGGUGAAGAAAGUGGCAAGGGAAAAACAAGUCUGUGAGCGCUGUGAUGAUUAAAAAGGCAGACAACUUUUGAAGAGUAAACUGGAAACUAUCCUCAAUUAAUUCUUGAACUGCUGACUUCCCAAACCAAUUUAGCCAUUCAUCCAUGAAGCUAAAAGGACUCAGCUGCUGUUUAUGUCUUGGAGAGUUGUGGAAGCUCCUUUUUGUUGGUUGUGGUUUGGGUUUUUUGUGGAAUUUUUUUGUUUUGUUUUGUUUUGGUUGGUUGGUUGGUGGUGGUGAUGGUGGUCGUGGUUUUGGGGUUUUGUUUUUUUUAAAUAUCACUCUGCCUGCUGUGGUUUUUUUUAUGUGCAAAAGUGCAAAUUUAAUGUGUUUUCUGGGAUUUUUGAAGCUGUAAAUUAAAAUCUCUGAGAGAGAAAUUAGCCUAAAUUGAGCAGAUCUUUAUUUCUCUGGUAUUUUACAAACAGAAAUAAAAUGCAGUGUUGUUACCUGUGAGAUGUGACAUAGUUCAGUUGGUGUGAUGCUGACCUAGUGAUGGGAAGGUCUGUAUUUUAAUAAUGGCUCCAUAACCAAUUUCCUUUGUUGGCUUUUGCAAACUGUGGUUGCCCCAUACACAAGAAUAGGGAAAGAGAAUUGUAAUUUUUUUUUUUUUUGAGUCACAUGAAACUAAAUUAAUAAUUUAAUUAUUUGUGUGCAUUUUCCAAAAUAAGUGAGGGACAGGGCAGUGCAUGAAUGUCACUUGUGACCCUAUGGGGCUUUUCCCUCCCUUUCAAUCCUCAAAAACAAUCUGUGUUAAACAGGAAAGUUCUUGCUCCAUUGUCACUGUCCACUUCCUGUGGACACCCCACAUUUUUGUUAUUGCUCAGUUACCCUGCACUAAUAUUACGACAGCAAGGCAGAUGCAGGCAGUAACAAGGUGGAGAUUUGUACAAAAUAAUAUAAUUAAGUUGCUUCUGCUCAUGCAGUUUGCCACAUUAAGUAAACAUUCAUGGGAAUUAUUCAGAAGAAGGUGGAAUACAUUUGGAAAAAAUUGCAUAUUUGCAUAAUGCAGUGAAUUUCUCAGCUUUUGUGCCCUGCUGAAUGUAGAUGAGAUACUAAUUUAAGGAGUUUACAAUUCUGCAUCCAUUCUAACAUCUGUUUAUAAUAAAUAGCUGUGACUAAUUUGAAACGAGGAGGGUGAUCUCCACAGCCUUUGGGCAUUAACUGCUGCUAGCAGAUACAUUUUUAGCCUACCCUGUUUAUAUUGAAAUAAGAUGUUUGCCAUGGAAACCUACAUGUUACAAUAAACCACCACUUUCCAAAGGGCUGGGAAGCUUUGCAGUGAGCACCAGGAAUGUAUCAUCCAGUGUUUUUUCCCUGAAAUUAUUUGUUUGAAAUACGGUUUCUUAAUAUUUCUGAUUUCUGAUAGAUGAGUAAUGCGAUAGUUGACUCUCACAAUUAACAGGCAAAUAUUAUGUAUAUGUUAAGAGAAGUUUUAUAGAUUUAUUGUUAUGUUUUGCUCCCCUUGCACUGUUAUCAUGGGAUGGCCUUGGUAGCUGGGGCAUUUGGGAGGGUCGGUGGUUACCAUGGCAACACCUGACCUCCAAGCAAGAUGUGAGAAAGUGAACUCCACCACUGGACAGCACAGGAGUCGAUGGACAAGACUUUGGGAGGGGAUAAAGGGUUAAAAGUAGGAGGAAUAGCAGAUUUGUCUUUACAAACAAGCUGUGGGUCUGCUGGUAGAUAAAACUAGCACUGGGAGAUAGAAGAAACAAUGGGAAGGAUUCCACUGAUUGAUGAAUGGAAAAAGAUAUUUGCCUUUACAAAUGAACUUUAGGUUUGUUGAUAAAGGAAAUUAGACAUUGAAAGAUGAUAGAAACAAUGGGGAAGAAAAACCCCUAAAUUCCGUAAGAAUUAAAAAUUAAAAGGGAAGACUAUACAUUAGAGGGAAAUCUCUGGUAUCAGGUGUAUGGGGAAGUCUGAACUUCUCAAGUACCUCAGCCAAUGGGGAAAGAGAGAAGGGAAAUGUGGCUGGAAAAUUAGGAUAAAAAGGAGGCUGCAUCCUCCAAAAAUGUGAGAGAUCCCAGGGGAAUGCCCCAUGGCCACUCCCUUUACUCAGAUAAAGUAAAAAGACUCCUAUGUCUCCUUUUUGGACAUAAACCACUGAUGUUUGUGGAUUAAUUUUCCUAAUAAAAGGCAAAACCUCCAUUGUGUGGAUGAGCACAUGGUGGGGAAGAUCCUUUGCUCCCAGCACUGUAAUAUUUUCUCUAGUCAGUCUUCUGUUGUAUUUUUAUAAGGUUUUAAUAAACUUUUUAAUUUUUUGAAAGUGAUUCUCAAAUUAUUGAUUUGAUAAGGAUUGUUCUGACCACUCAGUUUCUGUGGAGAAUGGGAACUCCCAUCUAUGAAGCAUUAGCUUCCUUUUAAUCCUGUUUUCCCUCCAAAUUCCAGAUUUUUCUGUGAAGGAAAAGCCUGAAAAAUAUCUUGAAGUAGGUGGAUCUGUUUCCUAUGGACAGCAAGAACAGUUUUGCAUUUUAUUUUGAUUUCCAAUGAGAUUAUGUAUAAUUGAAUAUUAAAAAAUACAAAAUUAUUGAAAUUUUCAAUGUGAGAAAUAUGAACGUGAAUUGUUUUGGAUUUGCCCUUUUGCUCUCUUAUUGAUAAAAAACUAGUGAAUUUCACAUAAUUCUCUUGCUUUCCUUUGCACUUUAUGUAAUGGC
Passer domesticus (house sparrow) is the source of this 3088-nucleotide long non-coding RNA. RefSeq lists it as uncharacterized. The record is from RefSeq and is a predicted model, not a curated record. Lineage: Eukaryota; Metazoa; Chordata; Aves; Passeriformes; Passeridae. The transcript has 4 exons.